CCUACGGGUGCAGCAGUGAGGAAUAUUGGUCAAUGGCCGAGAGGCUGAACCAGCCAAGUCGCGUGAGGGAAGAAUGUCCUAUGGAUCGUAAACCUCUUUUGUCAGGGAGCAAAGUCACCCACGUGUGGGAGUUGGAGAGUACCUGAAGAAAAAGCAUCGGCUAAUUCCGUGCAAGCAGCCGCGGUAUUACGGGGGAUGCAAGCGUUAUCCGGGUCUAUGGGGUUAAAGGGGUGCGUAGGCGGGUUAUCAAGUCAGCGGUAAAAUCGUGGAGCUCAACUCCAUCCAGCCGUUGAAACUGAGGGUCUUGAGUGGGCGAGAGGCAGGCGGAAUGCGUGGUGUAGCGGUGAAAUGCAUAGAUAUCACGCAGAACUCCGAUUGCGAAGGCAGCAUGCCGGCGCCCAACUGACGCUGAAGCACGAAAGCGUGGGUAGCGAACAGGAUUAGAUACCCUUGUAGUC
This 458-nucleotide ribosomal RNA is filed under the name uncultured bacterium. Its description in RNAcentral is "partial 16S ribosomal RNA". It matches the Rfam family "Bacterial small subunit ribosomal RNA", at positions 338 to 795 of the family's 1533-position model. The record is from RNAcentral.